GAGUUUGAUCAUGGCUCAGGACGAACGCUGGCGGCAUGCCUAGUACAUGCAAGUCGAGCGGAGUUCAUUUGAAAGCUUGCUUUCAAAUGAAUUUAGCGGCGGACGGGUGAGUAACACGUAAGCAACCUGCCCUCAAGACUGGGAUAACUACCGGAAACGGUAGCUAAUACCGGAUAAUUUCUUUCCUCUCCUGAAGAGAGAAUGAAAGGCGGAGCAAUCUGCCGCUUGGGGAUGGGCCUGCGGCGCAUUAGCUAGUUGGUGGGGUAACGGCCCACCAAGGCGACGAUGCGUAGCCGACCUGAGAGGGUGAACGGCCACACUGGGACUGAGACACGGCCCAGACUCCUACGGGAGGCAGCAGUAGGGAAUCUUCCGCAAUGGGCGAAAGCCUGACGGAGCAAUGCCGCGUGAGUGAUGAAGGUUUUCGGAUCGUAAAGCUCUGUUGCCAGGGAAGAACGUCCGGUAGAGUAACUGCUACCGGAGUGACGGUACCUGAGAAGAAAGCCCCGGCUAACUACGUGCCAGCAGCCGCGGUAAUACGUAGGGGGCAAGCGUUGUCCGGAAUUAUUGGGCGUAAAGCGCGCGCAGGCGGUCAUUUAAGUCUGGCGUUUAAACCUUGGGCUCAACCUGGGGUCGCACUGGAAACUGGGUGACUUGAGUACAGAAGAGGAAAGUGGAAUUCCACGUGUAGCGGUGAAAUGCGUAGAUAUGUGGAGGAACACCAGUGGCGAAGGCGAUUUUCUGGGCUGUAACUGACGCUGAGGCGCGAAAGCGUGGGGAGCAAACAGGAUUAUAUACCCUGGUAGUCCACGCCGUAAACGAUGAGUGCUAGGUGUUAGGGGUUUCGAUAC
Molecule: ribosomal RNA, 851 nt
Filed under: uncultured Paenibacillus sp.
Lineage: Bacteria; Bacillati; Bacillota; Bacilli; Caryophanales; Paenibacillaceae
Description: bacterial SSU rRNA
Rfam family: Bacterial small subunit ribosomal RNA
Source: RNAcentral